UGCUGGCCUCUGUAGAUGCACACGUCAGUUCUCGGAUCUGUGCAGUGAAGAGCCUUGGCACAUUGAGUGGAAGGUGAAGCUCCAGCUCUCUCUUCCCGACCCAGUGUUUCUCACAAGAAACCCCAGUGAUCUGAGCUGAGAACCAGUGCCACAGCCUGCCCAUCGCCUCUUUGCCUUGCUCAUGUAAUAGUCCGAAAUUCUCUCUCCACUCCACCUCUCUCAUUCUUUAGGACUCAAUGCUAGUGCCACCUCUUCCAGGAAGUCUUCCUCUAGGAGUAGGAUUAGGUGCCUCCCUGUGCUCUGGCACUUUCCAGGUUAUUGACAUGAUCCUUGAGGGUCGGAAGGCAGGAAACCUGGCCUCCUUUUGCACUCUGUCCCUGAGACCUUGCUCAGCAAGCGUGUUGACCUGGCCUGAGCACCCCAUGCUGGUCUCCCUGGCAGCUCAGAGCACCUGUCCCCACCCCUCUCCAGCUCAGCUCUGGCUCACCUGGAGGAGGGGCACAAGGGCUCCAUUGUGUGCUAGAGGGGACAGGAAUAGGGUGAUGCUCUCGAGGGUGGGGCGGGGGCUGGAGCCCGGACAGAUGGAACCCAGACAAAGCCCUCUUUAAGCGGGGAUCGUGGCAGCUGUGCUGACAGUGUACUACAGGAGCCUGGUUAGCUAAAGGAACCAAAUGCCCAGGACGCUGUGAACUUGGCAGUGUCUGGAGGUUGUAUGAAGGUCAUGGGUGGGAUGGGCAUUGGUGCAUGCCACUCACCCUCCCUAGCACUGAAGGCCCCCCUCCCAGAGGGUGCUCCUCAGGCCACUGGUCCUCCCCGUGUCCACAGGAACACCGGCAUUGGGAUGAGAGCGGGAGCAGCUGGCUGGGUUCUGGUUGCAUCCCAUGGGGACCCAUACCGGGGAACUCAGAGCCAGGUUUUACCUUCAGUGGGGUCUGACACCAGAGCAGGGCUCAUGCUGCAAGCUUUGGGGCCUGGGACAGGGGCCAGAUCCUAGAAGAGGCUCACUGUGACCACCUAGCUUCUGGCCAGCUGGCAGGGAGCCUGAGUGAGUGGCCUCAUUCUUUUCCCCGCACAAAGCCCCCGGUCCAUCCUAUCUAGAGCCCUCUCCUGUAACUGGCUGACCUGAAAUCCCAUCUGAUUGGGAAAGACUUCCACAUGAGGCUGCCAGGGUCAGGCCUCCUCUUCCCGCUUCCCUCCUCCACUGAGAAUCCCAGAAGGGGCCUUGCCAGAUACCUGAUGGUCAUAGGUUAGUUUUGAUGCAUUGAGCACAGGUAUGAACCUAUCCCAGGAGUCCAGGUGGUGAAGGAAGGGGGUUUGACCCAGGGCACACGUAGAAUGCUGAGGGAGUCUGGUGGGAGCCCCAGGGCUGUCAUCCUCCUGGGACUGGGCAUUCUAAAUCCGCAAGCUCGAUCUGGGUGGACCCAGAGGGACCCACGAGGAUCUCCUGGAUCCAUGGAGCCCGGCUGUGCUCACAGCUCUGCUGCCUGCUGCCCCCUCACCAGCCUCUCCUCACCCCAGAGCGGCCACCCCUCAUGCCUUGUCUGUUCCCAAGCCCUUUUUGGGACUGUCACCAGCCCUGGCUCCCCUGCUGACCCAGGAAGGGAGCAUAGCCCCUGUCUCUGCUUCUAUGGGGCACCCCUAUGACAGCCCACCCUCCUCAGUACCCUGCCCGCUGUUAGGACUCAGUUUACCUCCUUGGACAGUAUCUUAUCCCCGGUUGAGUUAGGUAGGGCUAAUGCACACCCUGGGUGUUGGGGCUUCCUGGAAUUACAGGAACUACUGAGGGACAGGGCAGGAACUCCCCUACCUGCCCCACCCCACAAGGCCCCUCGUGGGAGUAGGGGUGGAAGUGUGUGCGUGAGAGGCAGUUUAGAAGGGUAGCCGGAGCACCAGCUGGGACCCAGACUGCCAGGCCCCAGUCCUGGCUCUGCCAUUUCCUAGCAACAUGACUUUGUGCCUCAACUUCCCCAUCUGAGAAGAAUCAUCGUGAUGAUUCAAAUUGAAGUGCUCAGUCACAAUGAUCCAUUGUGAUUAUGUGCUGGGAGGAGGGGGCUGCCCAUGCCCUACCUCCCUCGCCACCUUCCCUCCCACUGAAAGAGGGGACCGAUGAGACACCCAUUCCCUACCUCCCUCGCCCCCUUCCCUCCCACUGAAAGAGGGGACCAAUGAGACACCCAUUCCCUACCUCCCUCGCCCCCUUCCCUCCCACUGAAAGAGGGGACGCAUGAGAUGCCCAUGCUGGCUGAGGCUGCCGUCAUGCACUCCGUUCAGCACCCACGGCCCCAGGGAGCAUGCUCCCUUCUCAUGAAGAGCACGGUGGUGGCUCAUUUUCCCCUGGCUAUCACAAGCCAGGACCCCAGGGAGCCCAGGCGUCCCCAGGCGCAGAGCAGCAUUUAGAGGCGCCAGCUGCCUCUCAGGGGGCACCUCCGCGGUGCAGUGGUUGGGGGUGGUGCAUGAGGACAGGGACUAUGGUCCAAAGGGACCUCAGGCAGGUGCAGGGCCUGUGGAAUCCCAGUGACCUUCUCCACGGUGAGGGUGGAGUUGUGGGUCUCGACUUGAUGGCAGAGUCAUGGGUGCGGGGAACAGGUGGCCACUCUCAGUCUCCACCCCUGCCCUCUUAACAGCCCGUUGAACAAAGACUGUUGAGCUCUUGGCACAUGCCCAGCGCUGUGCCCAAGCACAUUACACGUUGUUCCAGGGUCUUCCCAGCGCUGCAGGUGGAUCAUGCUGCUGUCCCAUCUGACAGAGGAGGAGAUGGAGGCUCAAGCAGACUAGGGCCCCCAGCAAGGACGCAGCCUCCUUCCUCUGCAUCUCUGCAUAGAGCUCGGGACAAGGCUGAGUACACACCAAGUGCACAGGGGCAGAGGCAGGGGCAGAGUGGAGCAGGCCCUGAGAUAGUUCUAGAAAAUGGGCCCCUCGGUUACCUUUGGAGGAAGGGAAGAACCCGGCCAGGACCCUUCUGUGUCUCAACACACGUGCCAGCAGGUGGCACACGCCUGUAGUCCCAGGUACGCUGGAGGCUGUGGCAGGAGAAUCACUGAACCCAGGAGGUGGAGGUUGCAGUGAGCCGAGAUCACACCACUGCACUCCAGCCUGGGCAACGAGCAAGACUCCGUCUCAAAAAUAAAUAAAUAAAUAAAAGAGA
Homo sapiens (human) is the source of this 3145-nucleotide long non-coding RNA. RefSeq lists it as uncharacterized. NCBI's taxonomy places the organism in Eukaryota, Metazoa, Chordata, Mammalia, Primates, Hominidae. The record is from RefSeq and is a predicted model, not a curated record. The transcript is spliced from 3 exons.